AGCUUCUCCUCUUGAUGCUUGCUAUGCCAA
This 30-nucleotide non-coding RNA is filed under the name Rattus norvegicus (Norway rat). The record is from RNAcentral. Lineage: Eukaryota; Metazoa; Chordata; Mammalia; Rodentia; Muridae.